CACUCUUGGAGACACGAGGAUGGGAACUGGAGACAUUACCGCCUGGACUGCCCUAAUGCUAAGUGCAAGGGCUUUGGCCACUCGCCCAGGAAGGCGGAAUAUGGAGAGCGGCCGACUAAGUGCAGAAAAGUAUCUGGAGCUAAAAGGGCUUGGAGCCCGGCGACAAGGGUUUGAGAGGGGCAUUUAUGCUCCCAUUCAGUGAAAUCAGUGGAUCAAUAUCAGCUCCAUGUGGUCUGGAACUGCAGGAGGAAGAAAGCAACUACUGCAUAAAGAAAAACCCAGAAAAAAUGGAA
This 293-nucleotide long non-coding RNA is filed under the name Mus caroli (Ryukyu mouse). Its description in RNAcentral is "lncRNA (MGP_CAROLIEiJ_G0004242.1)". Lineage: Eukaryota; Metazoa; Chordata; Mammalia; Rodentia; Muridae. The record is from RNAcentral.